GACGGAAGGUGCAAGCGUUGCUCGGAAUCAUUGGGCGUAAAGAGCGUGUAGGCGGUUCGGUAAGUCGGCUGUGAAAGUCCAGGGCUCAACCCUGGGAUGCCGGUCGAUACUGCCGGACUAGAGUUCGGAAGAGGCGAGUGGAAUUCCAGGUGUAGCGGUGAAAUGCGUAGAUAUCUGGAGGAACACCGGUGGCGAAGGCGACGUCCUGGACCGGCAUUGACGCUGAGGCGCGAAAGCCAGGGGAGCAAACGGG
RNAcentral lists this ribosomal RNA (253 nucleotides) under uncultured bacterium. RNAcentral describes it as "partial 16S ribosomal RNA". It matches the Rfam family "Bacterial small subunit ribosomal RNA", at positions 524 to 776 of the family's 1533-position model. The record is from RNAcentral.